GUUGUCGCAAUACAGCAGUGGCAGACGGGUGAGUAACACGUGGGAACCUUCCUCGGGGUACGGAACAACGCAGGGAAACUUGCGCUAAUACCGUAUACGUCCGUGAGGAGAAAGAUUUAUCGCCCUGAGACGGGCCCGCGUCGGAUUAGCUAGUUGGUGGGGUAACGGCCUACCAAGGCGACGAUCCGUAGCUGAUCUUAGAGGAUGAUCAGCCACACUGGGACUGAGACACGGCCCAGACUCCUACGGGAGGCAGCAGUGGGGAAUCUUGGACAAUGGGCGCAAGCCUGAUCCAGCCAUGCCGCGUGAGUGAAGAAGGUCUUCGGAUUGUAAAGCUCUUUUGCCAGGGACGAUAAUGACGGUACCUGGAGAAUAAGCCCCGGCAAACUUCGUGCCAGCAGCCGCGGUAAUACGAA
RNAcentral lists this ribosomal RNA (416 nucleotides) under uncultured Nordella sp. RNAcentral's name for it is "bacterial SSU rRNA". It matches the Rfam family "Bacterial small subunit ribosomal RNA", at positions 78 to 529 of the family's 1533-position model. The record is from RNAcentral. Lineage: Bacteria; Pseudomonadati; Pseudomonadota; Alphaproteobacteria; Hyphomicrobiales.